This 548-nucleotide long non-coding RNA is filed under the name Dromaius novaehollandiae (emu). RNAcentral describes it as "lncRNA (ENSDNVG00000015930.1)". The record is from RNAcentral. Lineage: Eukaryota; Metazoa; Chordata; Aves; Casuariiformes; Dromaiidae.
AGUGCUUUCUCAAUUCUGCAAAUCAAGUCUACAUAAUGAUGUAUUUAUUAUAUUAACACCUCACAGUACCUCAGUUUCUCUCUCACUGUCUUGCAGGGAAUGAGGAAAAAUAGCAUACACCUUUCAAAAACAUGUAUUGUUGCCAGGCCUAUAAUCCCCACUGCUGCGAAGAACUGACAUUCCCAAAAUGAUUCCUGUCUGUGCUGAAUCAAUGGAACAAGAGUGUGAUAUGUCUAUAUUAGAGCAAGUACUAGUAAUGAGAUUACCAAGCUAGCACCUACCCAUAAUCCAGUCUCGGCACCCCGGGAGCCUCCUCCUUUGCUGCUAUCCUGUUUGCUCACCCCAGCUGGGCCAGGAGACUCCUUUCUCUUCUCACUUCAGCGAUGGAAAAUAAAAGCGUGUUCUCUUUUCGCUUGCCUUUGUGUCCUUAACUGCGCUGGUACAUAAAUACAUACAUGAUCUUCCCCUGAUGCAACUUGACAAGCUAGGCUGACUGUUUGCUUCCGUAGCUGAUACUCACUGUGCUUAGUGGGGUCCCUGGUCCCAGA